RNAcentral lists this ribosomal RNA (301 nucleotides) under uncultured bacterium. Its description in RNAcentral is "partial 16S ribosomal RNA". It matches the Rfam family "Bacterial small subunit ribosomal RNA", at positions 509 to 809 of the family's 1533-position model. The record is from RNAcentral.
CAGUAGCCGCGGUAAUACAGAGGGUGCGAGCGUUAAUCGGAUUUACUGGGCGUAAAGCGUGCGUAGGCGGCUUUUUAAGUCGGAUGUGAAAUCCCUGAGCUUAACUUAGGAAUUGCAUUCGAUACUGGGAAGCUAGAGUAUGGGAGAGGAUGGUAGAAUUCCAGGUGUAGCGGUGAAAUGCGUAGAGAUCUGGAGGAAUACCGAUGGCGAAGGCAGCCAUCUGGCCUAAUACUGACGCUGAGGUACGAAAGCAUGGGGAGCAAACAGGAUUAGAUACCCCAGUAGUCCCUGUCUCUUAUGU